AGCAAUGCCUGGUCCCAGCUCACUGGCCCUUAGAGAUGACCACAGAUCCAGGGACUCCGCCCGGCGGCCAAGGGCAGCGGCCUGGUCAGGCGCUGCGGGCGCAGUACUCGGGAAGAAGCCAGGCUCUCUCAGAGAGAGACAGGAGAACAUUUUUACCAUCUUCCUGCAGUGGGACUUAGACAAAGGAAUAACGAACUGCAGAGCUGAGUGAAGCCCUGCACCUCCAGCUGAAGUUCAAGCCCAAGUGAGUCUAACAUCUCAAUUACAAGACACGGAGAAAGCAUGCCAGCCAGCCAAAACCGCCUGAAACCGAGGGAAGUCAUGAGAAAAACAGCUGCCUAACAAUUCCAGAAGACACAGAAUCACGUGAGGAGCCUCGGAUGCAAAGUGGACCAUCAUCUCCUAACUAGGGGCAAAAAGCAGGCUCAGUUCCAUUGACAUAACACGCACUGGGCAAGAAUAGAGCUGGCAAAUAAAUGAAAAUGCUCUCUAAGAAGUUGGAAUAUUUCACAAAGGAAAGCUCAACAGACCACUGUGGCAGGACAUAGCAGGAAGUCAGAGCUACAGGAACCACUCUGCAGGAACCACUGUGAUCCAUGAAGGGGCAGCCACACCCUGGAGCACAUCUCUGUAGAAGCUGGCACAGGAAACAAUAUAUCCAUUCUAAUCAGCAGAGUUCACAGGCUGAUAUGUGACUCAGCAUACACAGAAAUUUGUUUUGAAGCCAUAUCCAUUGGAGACUCUACUACUUUUGCAUCCCCAAAGCAUGUGUAUAUUGGCCUCAAAUCCAUGCUUUUCUGAACCUAUCGUAGAACCCUUGAAACAGGUCAAGUAGUGGCAUGGGCUUAAGUUCACCACACACUUGCAUAACAGUUGUAAAAAAUAUUUUGUAACUUCCAGUGUCCUCCUAAAGGAGCUUGUAAAUGUUUCUGGCCUUCUUUCAAACAGACCUUUCUCCAAAACUCACUGCAAAUAACCAGAGCUUUCUCCAAAGUGCCUGCCAAGGAACACGGCUUUCUCUGAUGGAAUAAAUAAACAAAUAAAGCACGGACAGCAGCGGGGCCUACAGAGUGACCACCAGCUCAAACUGUCCCGUAGCUGUGUUCCUCAACCAGCUUGGCUCAGCAGCACAUGCUGCCUGCCGCUGUCAGAAGCCAAACAGAGCAGUGCACUUGAAGGAUGGCUGCUUCUGGAUAUGUUGGUUUCAUCGGAUUUUCUCCUCUAGGAAGGGUCAGAAUUCCAGACGACCCUCCUAAAAUGUAAGAUUCCAGUCUCCAUUUUUAUUUGAACCAUGUCUACCAGUAGAAAGAACUGUACCGGUUGUGACAAGGCCACACCAGCAGGGCCUAAUCAGGACCCUGUAAACUUAAAAAGCGAAGCAGGGCCUCAUGAGUGCCUAUGCUACACUUUUCUAUUGACUUUAAAGUAUAAUCGAGGAGCAGGGAGAUGGCUCAGCGGAUAAGACCAUUUGCAGCAGAAGCAUGAGGACCCAAUCCCAAAUGUCUAGCACUGCAAAAAGUGCACGUGCCUGCAACCCCAGCUGCAAUGACAAGAAAAAGAGAAAUCCCAAGUAGCCAGACUAGCCAAAAUGGUUCAGUGUCCGUCACAAGGCAAUAAGGCAGUCAGAAACAGGGGAAGCCACCGGUGUCCUGCUCUUCUGGCCUCUGCAUGCACACUCACGGGUGUACACACUGCACACUUACAUGCAUGCACCACAUAUACAAACCACAUACAUAAAAACGUGUCGCCAAAAUGCUGCUUCCGACUCCCCAUGAAUGGCUAACUGCAGCCCAACUUGUAUCACCCUUUGCCAUCCCAUCCAUGCCCCGCUGGGCUAGAGCAGUGGUCUCGGCCCUCUCUUCCCAGACUCUGACCUGCCAAUAUAUGCUAUUUAUGUAGGGUAAGGUGGUCUAAAGCCAUUGGAACAAAAGUAAGGAGGGGAUGGCCAGGGGAAGGAAAGGGGGCUAGGAGGAGGGAAACAAGUUAUUAUAUGGAUUAAUGUAGAUGCAGUCUCAGGAUCUGUUCUGUGAAUGAAGGAAGCUACUAAAUAUAGUAUGUGUAUUUUUCCUGCCUUUUGCAUAAGAAAAGGUGAACGAAUGAUAUCUAUUUGUGUAAACACUAGAAAAACACAUUAGAAACUAAUAGAUGAGGGAGGGAUCCAGUGAAGGACUGAGAUGACAUGGGCACAACAAACACUUCUCACUUAUGAGGUGCUGAGGGUUGAUCUCAGAGCCUUGCGCAUUCUGAGGAAAUGCUUGGCCACUGAGUUCUAUGCCCAGGCCAAGACUUCUUCAUAUAGUAAUUUAAAUCAGUCGGUUUUUUAAGUCAUGAGAAUGUUUUUUAUAUAUAAACAUUUAUGACAUUAUAUAUAUAAACAUAUAUAUAAAUGUUUUAUAUGUCUAUUUUUUUUUUUUUUAGUGAGAGAGAAUUACUAUUUAUCUUGGAUAGAGGGGAAAGGUUAGCUGUUACUGCCCCAGCAUAUGAAACCCAGUGAGAGGGACUCUAAAUCCCAGCACUUAAGGAACUGAGGCAGGAGGCUCACAAAGUCAAAGCAAGCCUGGACACCACAGGGAGAUCCCGUCUCAAUCAAAGAAAGCCAACAAGCAACCAAACAAAACCAGAAAGAAACAAAUCUAUUAUGGUCCCCAAUAAUUUUGUUUGAGACAACAUCAGUUUCUGGCUCUUACUGUGAAGCUCACCAAAACAUUAAAAAAAACAAAAACAAAAAACAAAAAAAAACCAAAAAACAAAAACCUGGGCCUCCCCGGUGGCACAGCAGAAUGAGCAUCCGGGUACGGGUGGAGGACUGGAGCCUCAUGGCAAGAACCAUGGGUACGCGUCUACCUCCGCUCUCUCUCCACAAUAGCCAGUGACAGCGAGGAAGGCUUGAGACUCGGAGAAACCUCCUCUUCCUCCUACCUCAAAUGUCAGGCCUUCCGGUGGCUGAGGAAGAAUUUUCCCUCUGUAAAAUCCAGAAAUCCCCUCCUGCAGAGGCUGACUUCAACAAACUUGGUCAGGCAAACCGCCUGUUGGAGAGUACUCCGAAAGCGGUUCAAGUCGGCCAUCUUAAGCAGAAACCAUCCACACGAGAAACUUCUCAGGAUCUACGUGUGCCUCAUAUGGCCAUUACCAUCAUGGAAAAAAUGAAGCUUUCCAAGAUUGGGAUGAGGAUGAGACACAGUCAACUCUAAGCUAGGAGAGAAGGAAAGAGGCAGGAGGCUGGGCACGCCUUUCAGCCAAUGCACUUCUCCUCUGAGCAGUGACUUCCUCCAAAAAAGAGGCAACUUUCAAAGCACUUUAGGAAAAGCUGUGAAUAUUUUAUCCAAAUAAAAUAAAAUGUCUUUAUUACCUACUUAUUCUUUGGGAACUUUGUAUAGUAUAUUUUAUCAUGCUCUUCCAACUGCUAACUCUUCCCAGAUUCCCUCCAUCCAUCCAAUUUCAAGUUCUUUCUCUCUUUUAAAAAAGGAAGCCCCCUGUGGAGGCUUCAUGCCCCAGAGAAGGGGGAUGCUAGAGGGUUGAGGGUGGAGUGGGUGGGUUGGAGGGCGGGUGCACCAUCUAAGAGGCAAAGGAAAUGGGGAGGGUGGGGCUUAGUGGAAGUAAGACCAGGAAGGGAGACAUUUGAAAUCUAAAUAAAUAAAAUAAUUAAUAAAAAAGAAACUUAAAAAAGAAAUAGUUACAGCCUAGCCAGGUAAAUAUAUUGCUAUAAAUCUCAUUUAACUUUCCCACCUCACUGGAAUAGGCUCAUAAAAGACAACAAAAACCUGCAGAAAACUCAGUGACAGAAUAAGAUUGUCUAUACAGUCUGUGUAUUUAGAAAUAAAAUGGCACAAUCAGGUAUAAAGAAGAGACCACAUUACAGUUAAUAAAAAAUCAAUCUCACAAUCUCAAAGUAAAAAAAAAAAAAAAAGGAAAA
This is a long non-coding RNA of Rattus norvegicus (Norway rat), 3913 nucleotides long. RefSeq lists it as uncharacterized. The record is from RefSeq and is a predicted model, not a curated record. Lineage: Eukaryota; Metazoa; Chordata; Mammalia; Rodentia; Muridae.